RNAcentral lists this long non-coding RNA (247 nucleotides) under Brassica napus (rape). RNAcentral describes it as "long non-coding RNA (BNAP_LNC024943)". Lineage: Eukaryota; Viridiplantae; Streptophyta; Magnoliopsida; Brassicales; Brassicaceae. The record is from RNAcentral.
GUACAUCUUGACAGUCGAGACAGAUGAAAAGGAGAAUUCGGACCGGGGAGAUCUCUACUAACUCAUAUGAGGGCGUCCUAAACUGUAGUGUGUUCCCCCCUUGGCAAACCGUGAUUAAAAAUAGAGAGAAAGAGAUAAGGCGUGUGUGUUUGCCACUCAAAGACCACGUUUCAAACAAAAUGUAAUGUUGGAUAGCUAGGAUAUGAAGUUUAUACUUUAUAGAAUUUAAAACAAUAAACAGUUUGAG